Molecule: microRNA precursor, 207 nt
Organism: Oryza sativa Japonica Group (Japanese rice)
Lineage: Eukaryota; Viridiplantae; Streptophyta; Magnoliopsida; Poales; Poaceae
Rfam family: MIR812 microRNA precursor family
Source: Rfam
AAUAAGCACAGUUGUGGGUUUCAGUGUCCAAUUUUAACCAUCCGUCUUAUUUAAAAUAUUUUUAUGAUUAGUAUUUUUAUUAUUAUUAGAUGAUAAAAUAUGAAUAAUACUUUAUGCGUGACUUAACUUUUAAAUUUUUUUUCAUAUUUUUUUUAAAUAAGAUGAACGGUCAAACGUUGGGCAUGAAAACUUAUGGCUGCACAUAUA